ACGGAACGUUCGGAUAUGGUCGAGAUAUGGCCUUUUAAAAUAUUGAGUAGCGUCAACUACUUAAUAACCGGGUUCAAAUCCCGGCGUUUCGUAC
This 94-nucleotide transfer RNA is filed under the name Escherichia phage 55. RNAcentral describes it as "tRNA-Lys". Lineage: Duplodnaviria; Heunggongvirae; Uroviricota; Caudoviricetes; Pantevenvirales; Straboviridae. The record is from RNAcentral.